UCAUCCUCUCUGCCCUAAAGCUAUAAACCCUAAAAAUCUCCUCUCCAAGGGCUAAAGGACGCCAUGGUUCGAAUCCCAUCCGGAAAUGCCGCCGCCGCCAAGCUUGCCCGACUCGAUCAGGCACUGCGGCCAUGCUAGGGAUCUCUCGCUGGGCCGCGAGCUCCACGCUCGGAUCCUCCGCGAUGGCGCUCUCUACUCCAAUGUCUUCCUCGCCAAUCUCCUCGUCGAGAUGUAUGGCCGCUGCGGCGCCGUGGAGGAGGCGGCGGCGCUCUUCUCCGCCACCGCUGCCAAGAACUCCUUCAGCUGGAAUCUCAUGAUCGCGGCCCUGAUCCGCAAUGGCCAGCUCCAGCGCGCGCGCGAUCUCUUCCACCAGAUGCCGCAGCAAGAUGCCGUGGCCGGGAAUUCCCUGAUCAAGGCCUACGCCGAUCGGGGGGAGAUCCAAGAGGCAGAGUCGCUGUUCUUGGCGAUGCCCAGGAGGGAUCUAGUGUCGAGCAACACGAUGCUCCGGGCGUACUCCACCGGCGGGGAUUUCGAUCGCGCCAGAGAGUUUUUCGAUGCCAUGGCCGAUCGGGACGCGGUGUCUUGGAAUGUGAUGAUCCAGGCGUGCGUCACUGCCGGAGAUCUCGAGCAAGCGAUUGAUCUCUUCAAUCGAUCCCCGGCCCCGGAUAUCGUCUCAAGAACCGCGAUGAUCCAAGCGUUUGCCCAGGACGGAGACCUUGAUAGCGCCAAAAGAACGUUUGAUUCCAUGCCAGAAAUCAACAUAAUCUCCUGGAACACGAUUCUCACUGCGAUUUCCCAGCGCGGCCAGAUCGAGAGGGCAAGGAAAGUGUUUGAUCAGAUCCCACAUCCAGAUCUAGUUUCCUGGAAUUGCAUGCUUGGAGCAUAUGCCCAAGCCGGGCAUCUGGAUCUAGCGCUAGAGCUCUUCUCACGAAUGCCACUGACGAGCUUGAUUUCCUGGAACACAAUGAUCUCCGGAUUCAGCCACAGCGGCAACCACCGCACCGCGAUGUCGAUCUUCUACAAGAUGCCCGCCCGCGACACAGUCUCCUGGAAUCUGGCAAUUGCGGCGCUUGCCCAGGCCGGAAAUCUUCACGAGGCCGCCAAGAUCUUCAAGAAAAUGCCGCAGCGCGACAUCGUCUCCUGGAACACGAUCCUCCAGGCGCAAGCGUCGGAUGGAGCGGUCGAGCAAGCGCGAUUGAUCUUCGACGCCAUGCCCGAGCACGAUUCCCUCUCCUGGAACGCGAUCCUGGGUGCGUACACCUGCGCGGGGCAAAUCGCCCGCGCGGAAGAGAUCUUCGCGAGAAUGCCGGCCAAGAACCUCGCAUCGAUGAGCGCCAUGGUGUCCGCGCACGCCAUGGCUGGAAACCUCGAUCACGCGCUAGGGCUCCUGGACGCCAUGCCCGAGUGGAACUCGGUCUCGUGGAACGCGAUGAUCGCCGCGGCGUCGUCCGAUGUGGAGCUGGCCGGCUGGCUCUUCGAUCGGACGGCGGAGAAGGACGUGGUGACGUGGACGGCCAUGGUCGCGGCUUAUGCCGGGAGCGGGCAUCUGGAGGACGCGAGGAGGGCCUUCUGGAGGAUGGACUGCGAGCGCGACGUGGUGGCGUGGACGGCUCUGAUCCACGGCGAGGCCAUCAACGGCGGCCUGGCAACGGCCAGGAUGGUUCUUGAUCGAAUGCCAUGUCCCAAUGCGGUGUCCUGGAAUGGGGUCAUUCAAGCGUUUGCCCAGAACGGGAAUCUCCGCGAGGCGCUGGAAAUCCUCCGCGAGAUGUGUGCCGAGGGAUUGGCGCCGGAUGGCGUGAGCUUCAUCGGCGCGCUGGCGGCGUGCAGCUACAUCGGCCUCGUCCAGGGCGCCAAGCGCUGCCUGUGCUCGAUGAUCGUGGAUUUCGGCGUGAUUCCGGGCGUGGAGCACUACCACUGCGUGUUGGACGCGCUGGGGCGGGCAGGGAAGCUCGGCGACGCGGAGGAACUGCUCAGGGGGAUGCCUCAUUCUCCCAACGACGCUACCUGGACGAGCCUGCUGGGAUCUUCCAAGAUCCAUUGCGAUCCGGCGCGGGCGGCCGAGGCGGCCAGGAAGCUGGAUCCGACGAACGCAGCCCCAUAUCUAAUGCUCGCAAGAUGAAGAAUUAGGGUUCUUGGUCGCUGGGAGGGAGAGCGCUGAUGCAUCAUUCGAUGCGCGCGAGGAUCGGCGAAGAAACUAUUUGAUGCGAGGAAUAUUUUGCUCAUGGCCAUUGCCCUCCAUCCAAAGGGUAUUAUUACUCACUGUGGCCCAUCUCAAAUAGUAUCGUCUUCCUCGUCUUGUUCUUCCUCUGCAUGGCCUUGUUGGGUCUCCAUG
This is an RNA transcript of Selaginella moellendorffii, 2332 nucleotides long. It is a transcript of the gene named arogenate dehydratase/prephenate dehydratase 1, chloroplastic, with no coding region annotated. The record is from RefSeq and is a predicted model, not a curated record. The transcript has 3 exons. Lineage: Eukaryota; Viridiplantae; Streptophyta; Lycopodiopsida; Selaginellales; Selaginellaceae.